CUGCGGAGGAUCAUUCAUAAUAAGUGUUUUAUGGCACUUUUUAAAUCCAUAUCCACCUUGUGUGCAAUGUCAGUCGAUCUUCUUCAUGGAGAUCGACCAAACAUCAACCUUUAUUUUUUAACUCUUUGUCUGAAAAAUAUUAUGAAUAAACAAUUCAAAAUACAACUUUCAACAACGGAUCUCUUGGCUCUCGCAUCGAUGAAGAACGCAGCGAAAUGCGAUACGUAAUGUGAAUUGCAGAAUUCAGUGAAUCAUCGAAUCUUUGAACGCAUAUUGCGCUCUUUGGUAUUCCGAAGAGCAUGCUUGUUUGAGUAUCAGUAAACACCUCAAAGCUUUUGGAUUUUUUAAUCGAAAAGCUUUGGACUUGAGCAAUCCCAACACCAAUCUUUUUGAGAUCGGUGGCGGGUUGCUUGAAAUGCAGGUGCAGCUGGACAUUCUCCUGAGCUAAAAGCAUAUUCAUUUAGUCCCGUCAAACGGAUUAUUACUUUUGCUGCAGCUAACAUAAAGGGAGUUUGACCGUAUUGGCUGACUGAUGCAGGAUUUCACAAGGGUCGGCAACGAUUCUUGUUAAACUCGAUCUCAAAUCAAGUAAGACUACCCGCUGAACUUAA
This 611-nucleotide ribosomal RNA is filed under the name Linnemannia elongata. RNAcentral describes it as "eukaryotic LSU rRNA". The stretch from base 164 to 317 matches the Rfam family "5.8S ribosomal RNA". The record is from RNAcentral. Lineage: Eukaryota; Fungi; Mortierellomycota; Mortierellomycetes; Mortierellales; Mortierellaceae.